UACUUUAUCGCGCAGUCUGUGUCUAACCGUGGUUGAGGCAGGACGUGCGCCGGCUCGCUCUCGCUCUGAUGAGUGGCGUCCCCGUGCACCAUCACCGAGCUCGGUUUUUAGUUAAAGCUGAGAUCAGGGAAGAAAAAAUGUACGGGCUCGCAAAGGAGAAAAUAGAUCGUACAAACUCAGUGUCUAGAAAAAUAAAUACCAAAAGGAGACAUUUGGUGCCUGGAGAGUGGUCGACCUCUCGCCGCCAGGUCGUGACAAAGAGAAACCUCAUGACACUAAGACAACAGAAAACACGGGGCUCCGGCGACGACAUCGACAGCGUUACCAAAAGCCGAGGCAGAGGAUACCAAGUCGGCGGAUGAACCACUGGUACCAACGCUGAGAGCCAGCUAUGACUCAACUCUUCCACAAGGGUCUGCGUUCGGAGGGGGAUGGUAUAAAAAAAUCGGACUAAGAUAAUGAAAACGAAGGAAUGUUGUCAAGAUAAAGUGAGGGCGACUGUCAGAGCGAGGGUCGCCAAGUCACGCAGACUACGCGGAUGAACUGCAAGAUAAUGCUACCUGGUCGUCUCACAACACUGCGGUCUGCUGGAGCCUCGUAACGUGUCUGCGAUGGACUGGGCACCUCGAGGAAGAUCUUGUUUAAGAUGAAGGAGAGAACCCGUCUGCGUCACUGCUUCCUUGCGCGGGAUCGUAAGAGCAGCAGGGCAACAGACAGGAAUCGCAGCCCCAUCGCUAUCCAAAUCAUCAAUCACAGAAGACAUCAUCGGUGAAAAGCUUUCUUCUGAACUUCAGAAAGAAAUGAUGAAGGACUUCCGCCUACCUCCGUCACCCUCCCCUCCCUCCGGCCAAAUCUUUCCAAUCGCAUUUGCAUCCACAAGCAAUGGGGAAUUUCUUGCUCAGCAAAGAUAUUCCACACGCCCCAGGGGUCUUUCCCUCUUUCAUGCCACUCUCCAUCAUGGCAUAAAUAUUUAAGGAAUUAUGGGACUGUUCCUGCUGAGCUUUUACCUGCCAUAUUAAGGAAAUAAACUGAUAUACAUAAAUAAGUAAUAAUUUCAUAAACUGUUAACAGAUUCAUUUCUAGGAUGUUAAGAAUCAUGAUAAUUUCUAUGUCAAUUCAGAUGAAAAUUACAGACUCAAGUCAAUUUCACAUUUUUACUUAAAUGAAAAGAUGAUGCAAUAAUUCAAAAAAAUAUGAUGAAAAAUAGUUCUUGGAAAGAUAACUUUUUCUCUGUUUUGCCUUGUUAAAAGAAAGUUUGUUUUGAACUUUAUAAUGUCUUGUAACUUUCUAGAUCCAGUUUCCACAUUAAUAGAUAUGAGCAGAUUGUGGAUUUAACUUUUUAUUUAACAAUCUAUCUCCAUGAAAGAAGAGAAUCUGCACAAGCAUGAUUUAAUUCAUAUGUCCACAUACAGCUAAAUGAUACCUACAGUUCUGCAAAUAUAAAAAAUAUAUAUAACAAACCUAAGCAGCUGUUUCAGUGAACACCAUUAUGUAUAACUACAAAGACCAACAAAAGUUACACACAACUGAGAAUCAAGGUACAUAAAGAGACUCCACAAUAAUUCAGGAAGCCUCUACACAUGAUAAACCAAACAAGACAAGUGAAACAGCCCCUCCACCCCUUGCAAUUCCACAACUGUUUUAAAGUAUCAGGUUUCCAAGACAUUCAUUAUCAAUCCAAUGUAAAAUAACAGAAUUUUCUGCAGUAUUCCAUGUUAUCACUGUUAAUAUUCUUCAUAAAUGCACCACAAAAUGUAAACAGAUUUUUCAUUUUAUAGCAUACAGGGAAUAUUACAUAUAAUAUAGGUAAUUUCAUACAUAUGCUUGCACUUUUCCGAGAUCAUGUCUUUCAGAAUGCAUUCCUAUGUCAGAUGAAUUCCACUAUCACCAUUUGCUUACCAGAAUAUAAACAAAAGUGCAGCUUAUAGAAAGAUAAAUAACACCACCAUAAUUUCCCCAACGCUUCAUCUUAAAGAUACAAAGACUCAUUUUCAUUCAGAGCACUACUUUUAAAUGCCUACACUCAGUCUUCAUAAAUCUUGAAAAUCAUUUCACUUCAUAUCGUAUCAAGGUUCACAAUAUCAGUAAAAUGCAAGCCUUCCUACUGUGGUCAGGCUGUUUGUUUUGUUUCAAGCACUUCAGUCCAACAAGCAAUUAUCUAAGAAGGGCACGUGCAGACUGCUGAAUCAUUGACUCAAGAGGGGAUCAAGGAGGAAGAGUCUCACUACUACAGAAGUCUUGGAAACAUGCAAUGUGAUGCAUUCUAUGCUGGGUAUGGAUGUGUUCUGAGAAGACUGAUCUGAAGUUCAUCCUUUACUCAGAUGGAAAAAAAUAAAUCAUAUAUUUAAACAUAAUAA
This 2357-nucleotide long non-coding RNA is filed under the name Penaeus japonicus. RNAcentral describes it as "uncharacterized LOC122252330". Lineage: Eukaryota; Metazoa; Arthropoda; Malacostraca; Decapoda; Penaeidae. The record is from RNAcentral.